This 741-nucleotide long non-coding RNA is filed under the name Homo sapiens (human). Its description in RNAcentral is "non-protein coding SNHG11:19". Lineage: Eukaryota; Metazoa; Chordata; Mammalia; Primates; Hominidae. The record is from RNAcentral.
CAGCCAGCGCCCCCAUUUUUCCUGCAGCACCCUGAUCUGCACUCCCUGAGGGGCUCCCACUGUCCGCGGUGUGAGGAUGUCCCUGGAUAGUCCACUGUGUGCAGAGGCAUGGGAGUUGUCAUGUUGGGAACAUGCUAGACCUCAGUAUCCUUGAGGGAUGCUGCCUUGGGUCUGGAAACUGUUAGAGGAAACCCCAAGAGGUGCAGGCACUGAGCCUCUCAGGACAAUGACCUGGGGUCCCAGCUCCCCUGGAGGGGCCUCCUCAUGGUAAGUGAAUGCCAAGAGGUUAAGUUGGCCUGUGUUUCCGAGGUGGAAAUUCCAGGUCGCUGGCUUCAUUUGUCUUCUCUUUUAGAUUGUUUGGGGGUUGAUCACAGACCAAGAGUGACGAGUGAUGUCACCCUGUGACUCAUGGCUGGACCUUCUUGCCCCUAUUGUCUCAGCACAACAUUAUUCGACUUUUCCCUCAGCGUGGGUGGGCAGAGGAAAAGCCCUGUGGCUCUGGGGACUUGGGAUCCAGAGUUGAAGACCCUUCAGCUGGCUCUGCCCUGCCAGUGCCACAGAGUGCCAUGGCCCAGGAAGACAGGUUUUCUUCCAUCUAGGCCAGGCCAUCCAGUGGCCAUCCUCCGUGUCCUCCCGCCUCCUCCUGGUGUGACUUCUGAAAACCAAGAAUUUGUUCCUGUUGACUUUUUCUGUGCUAUGGACCAUUGUCCUCUCACCCACUCAAUAAAUCUUGAAACAUGC